RNAcentral lists this transfer RNA (73 nucleotides) under Fukomys damarensis (Damara mole-rat). It matches the Rfam family "tRNA". Rfam says of the family: Transfer RNA (tRNA) molecules are approximately 80 nucleotides in length. Their secondary structure includes four short double-helical elements and three loops (D, anti-codon, and T loops). Lineage: Eukaryota; Metazoa; Chordata; Mammalia; Rodentia; Bathyergidae. The record is from Rfam by way of RNAcentral.
GGGGAGGUAGCUCAGUGGUAAAGCUGCUUGCCUUGCACGCAUGUGGCUCUGGGUUCAAUCCCCAGCAUUGUCU